CCCCAUGAAUGUAACCAGUGUGGUAAAGCCUUCAACCGAAGCUCAAAUCUCAUUCACCACCAGAAAGUUCAUACUGGGGAAAAACCCUACACCUGUGUUGAAUGUGGUAAGGGCUUCAGCCAGAGCUCACACCUCAUUCAGCAUCAGAUAAUCCACACGGGCGAGCGCCCCUACAAAUGCAGUGAGUGUGGGAAAGCCUUC
RNAcentral lists this long non-coding RNA (201 nucleotides) under Homo sapiens (human). RNAcentral describes it as "non-protein coding lnc-ZNF250-1:1". The record is from RNAcentral. Lineage: Eukaryota; Metazoa; Chordata; Mammalia; Primates; Hominidae.